RNAcentral lists this long non-coding RNA (1437 nucleotides) under Oryctolagus cuniculus (rabbit). RNAcentral describes it as "lncRNA (ENSOCUG00000033414.1)". Lineage: Eukaryota; Metazoa; Chordata; Mammalia; Lagomorpha; Leporidae. The record is from RNAcentral.
ACUCCCCACAGUGACCAGUAUUAUCUUUGAAAUUAAAAAAAGUCAUUAUUUACAUGAAAAAGAAGACCUUUCUCUAGGCUUUAUCCAUUGAGGUGGGACAGCCCCGUCAUCCCAGCUCAGCUAGCGCUGUACUUGCAGCCUGAUUUCCUCUGGGAGGAGGGCUUGUAAAAAUCUUCUUCUGGGCUCUGCUGUGAGUUGGCAGUAGAAGCUUGUUGUUUGCAAUAUUUACGUGAACUGCCUGGGGGAGCCCUGCAAACCGCUCUAUGAGUUCCUUUCCCCAUUGACAGACUGUUGAAUGCUCAGAAAACGUGCCUGGGAAAGCAAAUCCGUAUUGGGUUGACUCAAGGGCUACAAGAUGUGUUGUGAUACAUCAACAAGAGUGAAGCGAGGUGCUGUUGGCUGGGACUUCAUUUUCCGAGUGAGUGAAGUGUGCGGCCUCAUAUGCAGGUGUGUGUGUGUGUGUGUGUGUGUGGACGUGCACAUUUGUACAAAUGAUGUACUGCUGGAUAUUUUGCACUCUGAGUUACUGUUGGUUGAGAAUGCUAAGUGUAUUGGCCCUGUAGUUCUAGUUGAAGGGCCAUCACGCAGGUUGAUUUAGGAUAAGUCAACUUCCCAUUGUUUUAAUUUCAUUUUCCCUGAUUCAUGGUGAGAGCAGUAACCUCCACCUCUACUCGGCCUAAGGAAAUGAAUGGCACCACAUCCGUGCUUUGAAGGAAAAACGUGCCUUGCUUGGAACUCGCACUUUAUUUCCCAUCUCAAAGGUCACUUUCUGGGGUGAAACUGCAAUGAUUAUGAACCUUUUUCCAGGAGCACUGGGGAGGACUUGUCUGAAUGAGGGGCUGACUGCAAAGAAGGAAAGCCCACCACGGCCAGUCCACACUGGGGAGGGACGGGUUACCAGGAAGACAAAAGGCGAAAAACAAGAGGAGGCAAGGCCUGCGUAUGUUUCUCUUAUUCCUGUGCCUGCCUCGGGCCGGCUGUGCCUCUGCCAGACUCUUUGGCGCAGACUGACUCCUUCUGCUCCGGGUCGGUUUCCUCUCUCUCUCAGAUAAAUAAGUAAAAACAAAAUUGGUCCAAGGAUGGGCAUCAUGGCUUUGUGGGUUAAGCCAACCCUAGGAAUGCCCACAUCCCAUAUCAGAGUGCUCAUUUGAGUUCUGGCUACCCCACUUCUGAUCCCGUUUCCUGCCCAUGUGCACCUUGAGGGACAGCAGGUGAUGGUCCAAGGGCUUGGAUCCCUGCACCCUUGUGGGAGACUCGGAUGGAGGUCCUGGCUCCUGGCUUUGGCCUGGCCCAGCCUUGGCUGUUGUGGAAACUUGGGGAGUGAACCAGUAGAUGAAAGACAUCUUUCUCUGUCUCUCUGUCUCUGCCUCUCUCCAUCACUCUGCCUUUCAAGUAGAUGAAAAGAAAUAAAUAAACAUUAAAAAAAAAAUAGAUCCA